RNAcentral lists this ribosomal RNA (1014 nucleotides) under Mischocyttarus latior. RNAcentral describes it as "eukaryotic LSU rRNA". It matches the Rfam family "Eukaryotic large subunit ribosomal RNA", at positions 417 to 1138 of the family's 3401-position model. The record is from RNAcentral. Lineage: Eukaryota; Metazoa; Arthropoda; Insecta; Hymenoptera; Vespidae.
AAACCUGAGAAACCCGAAAGAUCGAAUGGGAAGAUUCAGCGUCAGCGGCGUAUUCUCGGCGGAUCGUGCGUCGUCCUCUGACUUCUGUCUUGGGACUCGUAUUCUUUCCAUGCCUUGUUUUGCGUCGUCGUCGUGCACUUCUUCCCUAGUAGAACGUCGCGACCCGUUGGGUGUCGGUAUACGGUACGAGCGGUAGACUGUCGCGUCGCUUCGGCGCACGCGGCAGACCCUCGGUCACCCGACCGGCUGCCCGGCGGUCGAACGUAUAAGGUAUCUUGCCGCAAUUAUCGAACGUGCGUCGGGCCCGUCGCAAGCGAGGCCAGUAUUUAUCGGAGUUACGGACCUGGCGCCGUACCCGUGACUGGCCAGCUGUUUGCAGGCGGAGUCCUUUGACGGGCAAUACACAAUGAUACCGGUCUGCGACGCUACUGCUUUGGGUACUCUCAGGACCCGUCUUGAAACACGGACCAAGGAGUCUAACAUGUGCGCGAGUCAUUGGGACCGCAAAGCCUAAAGGCAUAAUGAAAGUGAAGGUCGUACUCUAAGGUCGACCGAGGGAGGAUGGGCCGCGUUUACGCGUUGCUCCGCACUCCCGGGGCGUCUCGCUCUCAUUGCGAGAAGAGGCGCACCCAGAGCGUACACGUUGGGACCCGAAAGAUGGUGAACUAUGCCUGGUCAGGACGAAGUCAGGGGAAACCCUGAUGGAGGUCCGUAGCGAUUCUGACGUGCAAAUCGAUCGUCGGAACUGGGUAUAGGGGCGAAAGACUAAUCGAACCAUCUAGUAGCUGGUUCCCUCCGAAGUUUCCCUCAGGAUAGCUGGCACUCGUUCGUUCAUAAUUGAACGUUAAACGAGUCUCAUCUGGUAAAGCGAAUGAUUAGAGGCCUUGGGGCCGAAACGACCUCAACCUAUUCUCAAACUUUAAAUGGGUGAGAUCUCUGGCUUGCUUGAACUAUGAAGCCACGAGAAAAAUUAUAAUAUAAUAUAACGGAUCAAGAGCCAAGUGGGCCAAUUUU